GUCGAGGGGAAACGGCAUUAUGUGCUUGCACAUUUUGGACGUCGACCGGCGCACGGGUGAGUAUCGCGUAUCCAACCUGCCCUUUACCUGGGGGAUACCCCGCUUGAAAGACGGCCUAAUACCCGAUUGUAAUUCAUUGAUGGCAUCAGAUAUGAAUAAAAGAUUUAUCGGUAAAGGAUGGGGAUGCGUCUGAUUAGCUUGUUGGUGAGGUAACGGCUCACCAAGGCAACGAUCAGUAGGGGUUCUGAGAGGAAGGUCCCCCACAUUGGAACUGAGACACGGUCCAAACUCCUACGGGAGGCAGCAGUGAGGAAUAUUGGUCAAUGGGCGCAAGCCUGAACCAGCCAAGUAGCGUGCAGGAAGACGGCCCUAUGGGUUGUAAACUGCUUUUAUACGAGAAUAAUUUGAUGCACGUGUGCGUUAUUGCAUGUAUCGUAUGAAUAAGGACCGGCUAAUUCCGUGCCAGCAGCCGCGGUAAUACGGAAGGUCCAGGCGUUAUCCGGAUUUAUUGGGUUUAAAGGGAGUGUAGGCGGCUUGUUAAGCGUGUUGUGAAAUUUAGGUGCUCAACAUUUAACUUGCAGCGCGAACUGUCAGACUUGAGUACACGCAACGUAUGCGGAAUUCAUGGUGUAGCGGUGAAAUGCUUAGAUAUCAUGAAGAACUCCGAUUGCGAAGGCAGCAUACGGGAGUGUAACUGACGCUUAAGCUCGAAGGUGCGGGUAUCGAACAGGAUUAGAUACCCUGGUAGUCCGCACAGUAAACGAUGGAUGCCCGCUGUUAGCGCCUGGCGUUAGCGGCUAAGCGAAAGCA
RNAcentral lists this ribosomal RNA (810 nucleotides) under uncultured Bacteroidota bacterium. RNAcentral describes it as "bacterial SSU rRNA". It matches the Rfam family "Bacterial small subunit ribosomal RNA", at positions 61 to 859 of the family's 1533-position model. The record is from RNAcentral. Lineage: Bacteria; Pseudomonadati; Bacteroidota.